UGACUACAGGGGUAUCUAAUCCCUUUCGCUCCCCUAGCUUUCGUCCAUGAGUGUCAGUUGCGGUCCAGUAGAGCGCUUUCGCCACUGGUGUUCUUCCCGAUCUCUACGCAUUUCACCGCUACACCGGGAAUUCCCUCUACCCCUACCGCACUCUAGCUUAUCAGUUUCCACUGCUGAUCCAGGGUUGAGCCCUGGGCUUUAACAGCAGACUUGAUAGGCCACCUGCGGACGCUUUACGCCCAAUAAUUCCGGAUAACGCUUGCCUCCUCCGUCUUACCGCGGCUGCUGGCACGGAGUUAGCCGAGGCUGAUUCCUCAGGUACCGUCAUUGUGUUCUUCCCUGAGAAAAGGGGUUUACAACCCAAAGGCCGUCCUCCCCCACGCGGUAUUGCUCCGUCAGGGUUGCCCCCAUUGCGGAAUAUUCCCCACUGCUGCCUCCCGUAGGAGUCUGGGCCGUGUCUCAGUCCCAGUGUGGCUGGUCAUCCUCUCAGACCAGCUACUGAUCACUGCCUUGGUAGGCUCUUACCCUACCAACUAGCUAAUCAGUCGCGAGCUCAUCUUCAGGCGAUUAAUCUUUCACCUCUCGGCACAUUGGGUAUUAGCAGCAGUUUCCCGCUGUUGUCCCCAUCCUGAAGCCAGAUUCUCACGCGUUACUCACCCGUCCG
Molecule: ribosomal RNA, 664 nt
Filed under: uncultured cyanobacterium
Lineage: Bacteria; Bacillati; Cyanobacteriota
Description: partial 16S ribosomal RNA
Source: RNAcentral